This 433-nucleotide ribosomal RNA is filed under the name uncultured bacterium. RNAcentral's name for it is "partial 16S ribosomal RNA". It matches the Rfam family "Bacterial small subunit ribosomal RNA", at positions 29 to 507 of the family's 1533-position model. The record is from RNAcentral.
AACGAACGCUGGCGGCAUGCCUAACACAUGCAAGUCGAACGAGACCUUCGGGUCUAGUGGCGCACGGGUGCGUAACGCGUGGGAACCUGCCCUUAGGUUCGGAAUAACUCCCCGAAAGGGGUGCUAAUACCGGAUAAUGUCUUCGGACCAAAGAUUUAUCGCCUUUGGAUGGGCCCGCGUUGGAUUAGCUAGUUGGUAGGGUAAAAGCCUACCAAGGCGACGAUCCAUAGCUGGUCUGAGAGGAUGAUCAGCCACACUGGGACUGAGACACGGCCCAGACUCCUACGGGAGGCAGCAGUGGGGAAUAUUGGGCAAUGGGCGAAAGCCUGAUCCAGCAAUGCCGCGUGAGUGAUGAAGGCCUUAGGGUUGUAAAGCUCUUUUACCCGGGACGAUAAUGACAGUACCGGGAGAAUAAGCUCCGGCUAACUCCGUG